This is a long non-coding RNA of Sinocyclocheilus rhinocerous, 183 nucleotides long. RefSeq lists it as uncharacterized. The transcript is spliced from 3 exons. Lineage: Eukaryota; Metazoa; Chordata; Actinopteri; Cypriniformes; Cyprinidae. The record is from RefSeq and is a predicted model, not a curated record.
GCUUCAAGACGGCAAAGCCACUAACCAGUCCAGUCUAGUGCUGAUUGGAGAUGUGUUCAAACAGUUACAGAAGCAAUCAGAGUUCCAGAAAAAAGAAUGGAUUAGAAAGCAAGGUCCACACUUCGUGGAGUAUCUGGGUUAUGAAGUCACACCUGAGUGCUGUGUGAGACUGAAGUGUAAGGU